GUCAUGGUCGUCGGCCGGGGGUCUGGGGAGUCAUCGACCGCGCGGCGACCGUGGGGAAGGGCUGGGUGCUGCGAGCCGUGGCGCGCGGGUGCAGGCAGCGAACGCCCUGCAGGGCAAGAGAUGUUGUGGAGUGAGGAGACGAAGGAACAGGGUUGCUGUCUUAGAAAAACUCCUUUGAACUGAGGAAAGACGGUGGAGAAGCUGCAUAUAUGUCUUAAAUCACUGAGAAGACCACCAUCCAGCAAUGAAUUCUAUUCAACUUCCCAGGAUAACUUCUUGAUGCAAAGGAAGAGCCUUUGCUGAUUCAGAUGAGAUUCCAAAUGUUCCUUCCCUCUCCAAGUAUCCUUAUACUCAGUGAAAAUCACGGAAGGAUCCACUUUCAGACUCUGGUCCUAUAAUCCAGUGGGUAGAAAUUAUAAGGCCUUUACAAGGCAUUACAAGACAAGAAGAAAGAGAAAAAGGAGUAAAUAUCUAGCAAUGAGAUUCUAAAUACUUUGUAUCAAAUUAACUACCACUAACACCUUGAGUAUUUGUACCAAGAAUCAUCCAAAUACAUAUGAAGAAAAAUGAAGUUGUUUUCAUUUAAAAAAGGUUUGUAGCUGAAGUUUUCUCCAGUCCUGCCUGGCCCACGGUCAGGACAAAUCUCUCUCACCCGCCAGUCCUGCAGCUGCUCAGACACAACCGAGUAAACACACUGAGACUUAUAUUGCUUACAAACUGUAUGGCCAUGGCAGGCUUCUAUCUAGCUGUUCUUAUAUCUUAAAUAAACCCAUUUCUAUAAAUCUAUACCUUGCCACAUGGCUCGUGGCUUACCAGUAUCUUACAUGUUGGUACUCAUGGCGGUGUCUGGCAGCGUCUCCUGACUCCGCCUUCCCGUUCCCAGAAUUCUCCUCUCUGCUAGUCCCACCUUUACUGCCUGCCUGGCUACUGGCCAAUCAGUGUUUUAUUUAUCAAUAAAUCAUAGCAACAUAUAUUCACAACAUACAGGACAUCCCACAGCAGAGGUUUGCAAGAAAUUAUUCUAAACAAGAGACUAUGUGUUAUAAAAGGUAUAGGACACUGCUGGAACUACAGAGAGACUUUUCUACAAAAUGGGGGGUGGGAUUAUUAUAUUUGGUUGUUGUUGUUUGGUUUUGUUUGUUUGUUUCUCCUUAUACUGGCAAAGGCUCCUGGGACAAUACAGAAGAUAUGUUGGUACCAAAGAACAGGAUGGCUGAUCUGGAUAGGGUUUGGUCCUUUGGAUUUGAGCCUGUCAGCUUGCAGACUGCCUGGCUCCUCCUUGACUGGGGGCCUUUUCUUCCCUUCUGCACCUCCUAUCCUGAGGAACUCCAGCCAGCCUCCACCUUGAGGAAAAUAUAUCAUCCUCCUCAUUCUCCCUUCCCCUUCUGCUAGUUAGUCCUUCAUAUAAGGAAAGACAAUACACUCCCCAAAAAGAAAUACACCAGGCCAGUGCUCCAAAUGCCCUGUGCCUCCUCCUAGCAAGAUUUUCAUAGCAACUUGUUGUGCAUUAUGCUCAUUGGUUAAUUUUUUAUUCAAAAAGCAGACAGGCCAGUAGUUGGGCAGGAAGUUAGGGGGAAAACCAAACUGAAUGAUGAGAAGAAGGAGGGCAGAGUCGAGAGAGAGAGAGAGAGAGAGAGAGAGAGAGAGAGAGAGAUGCCAGCUAGCCACAGAGCAAGCAGGACAUGUAGAAAAUGAGGUAACAAGCCAUGAGCCACAUGGCAAAACAUAGAUUAAUAGAAAUGGGUUAAUUUAAAGUGUAAGAGCUGGCUAGUAACAAGCCUGAGCUAUCGGCUGAGCAUUUACAAUUUAUAUUAAGUCUUUGAGUCAGUUAUUUGGGGAGCAGCUGCUGGGAUGGGGAGAAAGUGGUUGAGACAGGAAACAUAACUAGUCCUGAGUUUUACUUUAACUAACUCUCCACCCCUAAACAUGGUCAAUUAGGUUGUUUGGUAUUGACCUUUAUACAGACAGAAUCAUUUAAGUGUUUUACUCUUGAUUCCAUUCCCUGACAUAAUGUUUGUGCUGUUUUUCCAUGUUUGCAUGUAACCGAAGGCUUGUACUUCUUUGCUAUGAAAAUAGCACAAUGUAUGUACCUAUGGUCAUGCAGAUAGACAACUAGGCUCUCUGUAGUUCUGACUAUAAUUAACACUGUUCCAGAGAUCAUGUUGUACCCUUUGUGUGAAUAUGCACACAUUGUGGAAGGUGUAAAUGUAGCAAUGGUAUUUUGAGGUCAUAGUAUGUGAGGGUCAGCUUUUGUCAAUAGUGCUGGUUUCCAGAUUUAUUGCAACAGUGGUCAUCACUGUCAUAAGCUUCUCUUAUUCUUCACAGCCUUGAUAUAGAACAUAUGACGAGAAUUUUCAAAGCAAAUAUUGUCAUGAAUGCAGUAGCAAUCCCGAGGAAUAGGAUUAUACUAAAAAAAAAAAUAACUAUUGAAGUUGUGUAAGUUUUCUUGUUCUUAUUUUCCAUUUGGAGUCAAUUCAAAUCUCUUACAAAAUUUUAUCACUGGUUAUUUGCUUUGUAAAAAAAUUUAAUAGAAUAUUUAUUUUAUGUUUACAGUGCUUUGUCUGGAUUCACAUACCGCAUGUACAUAUCUAGUACCCUUAGAGGUCAGAAGAUGGCAUCAGAUCCCCUGCAACUGGAGUUACAGAUGGUUGUGAGCUGCCGUGUGGGCACUGGGAACUGAAUGUGGGUCAUCUAAAGAAUGCCAGUGCUCUUGUCCAUUGUACCGAUCUCUGGGCCCAGUUAUUUAUCCCUUUAAAAACUCAGUUACACAUCUCUUUGAAUUUCAGUUUGCUAGCUCUUCAUUAGAUUUCAAAACAUCUUCUUCCACUCUGGGCCUAACAUUUUAGAGCAGUGGUUCGCAACCUUCCUAAUGCUAUAGCCCUUUAAUAUAUUUACAGGUCAUGCUGUGGUGACCCCUCAGCCAUAAGAUUAUUUGUGUUGCUACUUCAUAACUAUAAUUUUGCUACUGUUAUAAAUUGUAAUGUAAAUAUCUGAUAUGCAGGAUAUUUUAUAUAUGACCCCUGUGAAAGGGUCAUUUAACCCUCAAAAGGGUUGCAACCCACCAUUCUUUUAGCCUGUCUAGCGACCCACCACUCUAUUAGACUGUCUAGAUAUCUCAAAGUAAACAGAAGUUUUAAAACAUAAUAUAACCAAAUUAGUCUUUGUCAUAAUUAUAUUUUUAAUGUCCUGCACAGAAAGUUCACUUGUACAAUUCAGAAAUUAAUUGUUUAGCUUUGGCAUUUAAAUAUGAUACACUCAGGUUGAAUUUUUUGUUUUGUUUUUCAUUUUGGUGUAAGGAUGAGAAGAUGAGGCAAGAAUAGUCUUCCCUUUCAAUUUAAAUGCUUAUCUAUUCACCAAUCUAUUCUUCUAUUUGCUUAGUUAUCAAUAAUUAUGUCAACAUCAUACUGUCCUGAUUGCUAUAUUACACUGUCCUGAUUGCUAAGUCCUAAAAACAAAUUUUAAUUGCCAUUAAAGGAAAGCUUUUCAUCCUGAUCUUUUUCAAAGAUUGACUUAAUCUAUGAUGAAAUUAGCUUCUAGAAUUCUACAACGGCCAUUUGGGAUUUUCAUUGGAUUGCAUUUCAUCCAUAUGUCAAUUUGGUUAGAAAUCAUAUUUUUAAAUGAACUUUAUCUUAAUUAGGGUUUCUGCUGCUAUAAUAAUCAUCAUGAUCAAAAGCAACUUGAGAAGAAAAGGGUUUAUUUCACCUUACAGGUUUCUUGAAAGAAGUCAGGACAGGAACUCAAGGCAAGAACUCUGCAGAAGGAACUAAAAUAUAAACCAAUGCUGGUUACUGGCUUGCUUCCAGGGCUUGCUUAUCCUGUUUUCUGCUAUCGCCCAGGAUCACAUGCCCAGGAAUGGGCACUGUCCACACUGAAAUCAAGAAUAUGUCCCACAGACUUGCCUACAGGCAAUCUAAUGGAGGUAUGUUCUCAACUUGUCUUUGAAAUUCCUAUGUAGCUGAGAAUGGUGUUGAACUUCUUAUCCUCGGGUACGUACAUCAGAAAUGCUAAGAUGGAAGCAAAGGAUCCACGUAUGCCAGGUGAGUAUUCUUACCAACUGAGCCACAACCCAGCCUUGUGUCUGUGCAUUUUAAUAGUGUUUUCAUAGAUGACUGGAACUCUUGGCUUAGUUUGCUUUGCAUCCAUUUAGAUAAUUUUUUUUUUUUUACUGAAAACUCUCAAACAUUUUGCUUCACUGUAGAUGAAUUGCUAAACAGUCUUAGUAAAAAAAAAAACAAAAAACAAAAAAAAAAACACGGAACCAGAUAUAGGGGUAAAAACCUGAGAGAGAUCAGAGGAAUAGGAACAGCCACAAGCUAACCUCAUCUCACAGAUACCUCAGCUUCCAAAUGUGAGUGAUUUCCUGUCUACCCACGUCUAUAUGCCUUGCUGUUCUGUCAUCUGAUUUGCUCUCUCUGUCCAGCUACAUCACUUCCUCUUCCUCCCCAGCUCUGUCACUUCCUGUCUGUCUGUACAGACCUCCAGACCUCCAUGGUUAACUAGUGUUGAAAUUUAAGGCGUGUGCCACCACACCUGGCUCUGUUUACAGUGUGGCCUUGAACUCACAGAGAUCCAGACAGAUCCCUGCCUGCCAAGUGAUAGGAUUAAGGGCGUGUACUACUGUUGCCUGACUUCUUUGUUUACUUAUAACACCUUGCUUUUUCCUCUGAUCUCCAGGCAAGCUUUAUUUAUGAAAGCACAAAUAACAUAUCACUACACUCCACUAAUAUCAUAUUCCUAUUUCCUUUAUUUUUCACUUGCUUUUGGAUUGUUAUUCUUUUUUUCCCCUCCCCACUCACCCACUUAUUCCAUGAGGUAUGUUCUCCAUCCUUCUUGACCCUACCCCCAAACCCCAAGAAGAUAUACUUUAUGGGUGACAUCCAAGUACAUCUAUGCACUCAAAAUGUGGCUUGGUUUGUCCAAACAAUGCACAGCCUGAGACUGAACUAUAGGAAGCGUCUGAAGUUUGAAUAUUUAUUCUCUUUAUACCUCCCUUCCAGGUUGUAUGCUUUCUCUCCUGGAAUGAACCCCCACUGUAGUGGGUACCAGCCCCUAGGGCAUAGCCUCUGAACUAGCUUAAGACCUGAGAGGCAUGUACACCUCACUCUCUUCUCUCCCUCGUGGGCUUGGACAGGGUGACUGACUCAGGCAGCAGAAGCAGAUAUCAGCCUUUCAGGGCUCUGUGACGGAUUUGUCUUAUCCUUUUUAGUGAGUUGUUCUCCCCAAUUUAUAUCCUAAUAAAUUCCCUAAUACUCCUUAAGCGACUCCCGUGGAUUUAUCACUAUACCCACUGCAUGUGUAGACAUUCUCUUGUCAUGGAAUGCCAUGGGAAUUUAGGUUCUGGGGCCUGUACUAAAGGUAAAAGUCUGGCUCCUACAAUUUCUGUAAGCAAUUGUACAAUAGCUUUUUAUUGUCUUAUACACGUGGUGUUUAUGCCCUCAUCAACUGGCAGACAUUUGGUUUCCUUCCACUUUUCUUUUGGUUAUUAUGAACAAUGCCGUAGAGAACAUUUUUGUACCUUUUUAUAUAUAAACACAAUUUUACUUUUCUUUGGAAUUGCUGCGUUGGUAACUCUGAGAUUAAUCAUUUGAAAAGCUGCCAGACGUUUCCCAAAGAGUCUGCACCAUUCUACUUUCCCAUCUACUGGUGCCCGAGUGCUCUGAUUUCUACAUAUCCUAGCCUUUACUAUCUUUUCAUUGUAGCCGCUCCAGUGAGGAACAGGUUGUACUGUUUUGAUUUUAAUUUGUAUUUCUCACAUGGUUAAAUUGUCUUAGUCACUUUUCUAUUGCUAUGACAAAACAGCGUAACCUAGGCAACUUAUUAAAAACAGCAUUUAAUUUGCAGUGGGGAUGAUUGUUUACAGUUUCAAAGGGUGAGUCCAGAACAUCAUGGCAUGGAUCAGGGCAACAAGCAAAUAGGUAUGGCUCUGUAACCGUAGCUGAGAGCUUACAUCUGAUCCACAACUGUGAGGCCAAGAUAGAUGUAACUGGCAAUGGUGUGGGCUUUUCAAACCUCAAAGCUUGUCCCCAGUAACAUAUCUCCUCCAACAAUGCCACACCUCUUAAUAGUUCCAGAAUUAUUCCACCAACUAGAGACCAAGCAUUCAAACAUAUGAGGACCGUUCUCAUUCAAACUACCAUAUUAAUGAAGUACCUGUUCAUGUGCCUACCAGCAAUUUAUGUAUCCUCUUUGGGGAAAUGUGUAUUCAGAGCCAUUGCUGUUAGUUUUUGUUUUGUUGGUUGUUGUUGUUUUGUUUUGUUUUGUUUUGUUUUGUUUUGUUUUGUUUUGUUGCAGUGCUGAGGAUAAAGCAAUGGCUUUGCCCUAGAAAGGCAAAUGCUCUAUCACUGAGAUACACCCACUCUAUUUACUAAUUUUUAAUUGAGCCUUUUUCGUCUUUAUUGGCUUCAAUGAUCUUUUACAUAGUCUACAUGAAAGUUCUCUAUCGGAUUUAUGAUUGGCAAAUAUUUUAACAUAUCUUUAAUAGCAUUUCUGAAUCACAGAAAGUUUACUUUUUUAAUGGGAUUGGUUGUUUUAUUUUGGCCCUUGUGGCUUUGGUAGUAUAUCUGCAAAGGCUUUUGACAUGUUUCCUGAGUCACAGGUUUGUACCUGUCUUUCUUACAGGAGUCUUAGUGGCAUUUCUGACUUUUAAAUCUUUCCUACAUCUUAAAGUUAACUUUCGUAUAUCCUGUGAUAGAAGAGCCAAACCUCAUUAUUUUGCAGACAUAUAGGCAGCUUCCCCACUACCACUCACUGAAAACUCAAUGUUUUUUACCUACUGAUUCCAUGACACUCCAGUCAAAAAACCAAUUUGCCAUAAAUAUGAGGGUUAUCUCUAUACUCUUAUUUCUAAUCCAUUAAUUUAUAUGUUGGUGUUGUGUUAAACUCUACUAUUAUUAGCUCUAUAAUAAGUUUUCAAUGUUUAAAAUCAAGAAUUAUGAACUCUCUAAUUGCAUUCUUCCUUUGAAAGAUUACUUAAUUAUUCCAGGUCCUUUGAGUUUCUCCUGAAUUUCCAGAUCAGUUAUUCAAUGAACACAAAGGAGCCAGCUGGUGUUGUGAUAGGAAUUGCACUGAAUCUGUGGUUCAAGUAGUACAGCAUUUUCUUCUUAAUAAUAUUAAGUCUUCCAACAUUUUGUCAUGGAAUAUAUUUCUUUCUUUAGAUGUCUUCCAUUUCUUUCAAUACUAUUUUGUAGUCUCCAAAUUAUGAAGCAACAUUUACUCACAAGCAUUUUGUUCUUACAAUUUCAUUAUAGAUAGAAUUGAUUUUUCCUUUAUGUGUGUGCAUACACAUUCAUGCAUGUAAGUAUGCACAUGCAGGAACACAAGCACAUGUGUAUGCAUACAUGUCAAGCACAGAGUUGGAUGUGUCAAGUGUCGUCUUCUAUCGCCAUUCACCUUAUUCAUUCAUUCAUUUAUUUAUUUAUUUAUUUAUUUAUUUAUUUAUUUAUUUACAACAGGAUUUCUAAUCGAAUCUGGAGCUCACUGAUUCAGCAGGAUUAGCUGUGUGGAGAGCUUUAGAAUCCUCUUGUCUCUAGCUCUCCAAUGCUGGAGUUCCAGGCAAGUGCCACCGUGCCUGGCUUUUUAUGGAACUGCUGGGGAUCCACACCUGGGUUCUCAUGAUUGAUAAGCAAGUGCUAAUCCUGAAAUUCCCCAGAAAAAAACAGUUCCACCCUUUUGGCCAAAUUUUUAUUAAAAUUUUUAAUACUGACCAAGGUGGAGUUUGGUCAGGACCAUCACCUGGAAAGUUUCCAGGUAAGGCGCCUCAAGACACAUGUUGGUACCCAUAGGCCACCAUACUUUCCCAUGAGGCUUUGUUAUUUUCCAAGACCUACAACUCCCAGAAUCUCAGAAAGUUACCUGGUCCUUGGAAGUUACCAGGUAGGGAUUACUGGUUAACUUCAUGUCUAACACAAGAACUUCAGCAAACAUGUGCUCUUCUCAGCCCACAUCCCUCAUUAAUUUUGAGAGAAAUCUAUGUCUCCCCACAUUACUUGUCAGGUUCCUGUUUUUCUUGGGUUUUAGCAGUUUUACUGUAAUGUGCUUUAAGGACGAUUUCACUUUAUUUCUUCUUACAGCCUGUAAGUGCUCUAGGAUCUGUGAUCUAAUAGUCUGUCAGUUUUCUUGGAGCCAUUAUUCUUGGAGGAAGUGGGAAUGGGGGAUGGGUUGGGGAGCAGGAGAAGGGAGGAGAGGAGGAUCUGUGGUUGGUAUGUAAGAUGAAUAGAAGAUUUCUUAAUAAUAAAAAAAGAAAGAAAGAAAGUCAGCACAUCUUCCCCAGAUUCUCCUUUGCUGACUAAACAUCUUGGACUUUACCCCAACACCUCUUUGUUUUAUCUUCUGACUAAUGUAUCGCUCAUUUUAAACUUUUCCUUACUUUGCUCUAGCUGUUUUUUCUAAUGUAUCUUUCUUCAGCUAAGCUUAAAUAACUAUAAGCUUACUCAGUGUGUAAAUUGGUUUAUUCUGUUUUUAAUCUUUAAAGAAUGGCAGAAAAAUCCCAAGUUUACCUCUUAUCUCUUUGAACAUAACAGUGUUAUUUAGAAUAUAGAAGCAGAGGCAUGAACGUCAUUACAAAUUGGACCAGCCUGGUCUAUACAGUAAGUUCUAGACUAGGCAACCACAAACUAAUGCCCUGUCUCAAAAAAAAAAAGUCUAUUUUUCUAUUACCUGCUUGUUUUGAUAGGUUAUAUUCAUGUCAAAUUGUCUUUAACACUUGAUCAUUUAUUUUUUUUAAUUCCUUGUCUGACACUGAUUUGCAAGAUAAUUUUUAAAAAAUAAUUGGAGACCUGGACUGGUGCUCUCUUCUUUUAGAAAGUAUUGUAUUUGCUUUACCAGGCUUGGAAAACACCAGCAGUCUACAGUUUCUUCACAAUUUAAGACUAAAUGUUUGGUCUUUUAAAGACUUACCUACCUGUUAUGAUCAACAGGCAAAGGUCGUAUUUUAAUGAUGUAUUGUCUAUUGACGGAAUCCCAUUCAUUAUUUUCUGUUAAGUGGCUCCCUCCCAUGAAUGCAUAUGUUAAGUAAUCUUCAAGCCUUAUUAAAAACUUAACUUGUAGGAGCAAUAAUUGACAGUUGCCUGCACUGUUGAGAAAUUUCUCAAUCCCUCUGCUAGUACAGUGCAGUUGGUCAUCGUGGUUCAUGUAUAAAUUGUAGCAUAGUUAUGAGUUCUUACACUGCCUGGAUUAGGCUCCUUAAUGCUUUCUCACACCAAGAAUGUUCCAGUAAGUUAGAUAUCUUCCUGCUGGAAAUGCUCUUCUAUUGUGGGAAGAAGAAGUUUGAGGAUUCAGAACUGUCAGUCUGGCACAUUCAUGAAGAGAAAACCACGAGGAGCUUCGGGGAGUCAGCUUUGGUCUCCAGUCCUGGGAGCACAAGUCUUCCUGAAUGUGUCUCAGCACAUGUGCGCAUGCCUGCCUUCAUCAGAUGGAAGCCACACCUGCCCUUAAACCUCUGCACUCCAGACGGCUGCCAGUGAUCCUAGCAGCCGUGCUGUAUUGGAAAUGCAAAAUGAAGCUGUUUAACAGCCCAGCUUUGAUUGCUCUCAGUGGCUAGGUCUAAUUCUCUUGUCACUGACUUUUUUUUUUAGUUCCCAAAUUUGUGUCUCUUAUUUUACUAGCGGUGCCAGUACAUCUAAACCUUUGUAUUUCAGUAGAUGUCUUAAGAGAGCACACAGAGUAGACUUGAAAAGGGGGAAAGAAAAAAGCCACAAACACCAAGUGGUCGGAUUAUUCCCAGGAUAAUCAAGAAACGGCAAUCCCUUAAGGCAGUGGUUCUGAACCAUCCCAAUGCUGUGACCCUUUAAUACAGCUCCUCAUUGUGGUGACCCCCAGCCAUAAAAUUAUUUCAUUGCUACUGUGUAACUGUCAUUUUGCUACUGUUGUGAAUCACAAUGUAAAUAUCUGAUAUGCAGGAUAUCCGUUAUUCGGCCCCUCUAACAGGGUCUUUCAAUCCCCAAAGGCGUUGCAACCCACAAGUUGGGAACCACGAUCCAAAGGAAACACUCUACAGGAACUGAACAUCUGCAGUAGCCUCUAAAAACAGCUGUCAACCAGUGUGCUUGACCCCGGAAAAGGAGGAAAUGUUCCCAGGAACUGCUCACACACUCCUCCAUACAGAUCCUCUUUUAGCUUCAUGUUCUAAGAAAGUUGUUUUUCAAAGAAAACAAAAUACAUCUUCAAAGAUCUAUAAUAGUUACAUAAGAAAACCCAGGGUUAUUAUUGUAGCCCACUUAUGGCUGGCACAUAGACCCCCCCCCUAAAGCCGGUAUUCUGUAGAUGGACAAUUCCCUCAGCUUUAAUUUGUUUUCUUUCCUUACAUUCAGGUCUUGAUUUCUUGUGUGUUGUUACAAAACCAGAGCAGGACAACACCCAAAUGAACAGGAACAGCAAAAUUGAAUAUUUGGAUAUUUUCAUUCUAAUGGCAUAUGGCUCCCGGUUAGAUCGAUAUAGAGGGUCAAUUUGUCAUCCAGUUUUACAUCUAGCAUAGUUAGAGAAAUUGUUACACUAGUUUCAUAAAUCAAGAAGUCACAGGCAUCAGCCCCAUCAAUCCAGUCAAUUUUAGGUUAAGUUUCUGAGUCCUGGAAAUAGACUGGGUUUAGGUGUUAGCUUCACGAUCAUUAGCCAAGGAAAGCAAGGGCUAUCUUUAUCUCAAGUCUUACUCUCUAUUUUAAAGUGCUUGGCUCACACAUGAAUAUGUAUGUGUGAAUCCAUAUAUAUAUAUAUGGAUGCUUGAAAAUUCUAUUUCCUUGGGCAUGUUGUAUACAACUCUAAUUGACUAACUACCAGUAACCUCAGUCACACUGCUGAGUUCCUUCUGAACUUUUUGGUAAUCUAGAUUAUUCUGAUUCUGUAGGUGACAAAAUCCAAAUCCUAUUGUGUACUGUAAUUAAUUUCAACUUUAAUGUAUAAGCUAUAACUUCCAGGGUAAAUGAAGAAAAGUUUGACAGAUUUUACCAUCUUCUCAAACAUCAGCGUGAAGAAUCAGCAUUCCUCUCUAUACAAUCAGAACCAAACAGAAGUUCAAAGAGAACAUUUGAAAUACAAUAUGAGCCAAGCAUUAGAGUGAUGGGGCAAGCUCAUCUGUUCCUCUGGGAAGCAGAGACCCUAGAGAAUGUGAGGGAAAACUGUGUCCAUAGCUGGAGCGAGAGUGGGGCUGAAGCACAACAGAGUUGGGGGAUUCUAAGCUACCCCAUAUGGUAGGUAGGUAAGCAGGUAGGUAGAGGAGCUGGGAGAGUCAGCAGAACUAGAGGAGUGAAUUAGGAUGGAGGAAGUUUGGGGGUUGGCUUUUGCAUACAUGGACUUUGCACCAUUGAGGGAUACCCAGCUGUCUGAGCACAAGGUAGCUGGGACUGUCACAUGAGCCUGUAAUGUGAAGAAGUCCCAGAUGCUACUUCUUAUUUGGGAUCCUUCGGCAGAGAGGCCAUAUUUGCAAGAAUGAACUAGAGGAAACUAGCAGAGGUCUGUCAAACCUUUGGCAGGAAUGUUCGUGGGCAGAGAGGGAGAGGCCUCGAAGUAUUACAGGAAGGGUGCAGUCAGAAAUCUAGGUAGUUAUUACUUCCCUCAGGGGGUUAUUUCUGCUAGCUUCAAGACUGAGUCCUACUGUUUCAGUUAAUGAUAGAAGAUGAAGAAAAUAGCUAGGAGGAGGGGAGUUUGGUAAAUAUGGAGUAGGCCAAGGCAACUCAAUGGACUGGGUGGAAAUUACUUUUUGUUACCAUUGGCUUUCAAGCUUCUUUUUUACGAAUGUUGAUUCAAACUCGGUUUAUUUUUCCAGUGUCCUGGUCUUGAAUAAAUCUAGGUUGGCUAAAUCUAGACAAAUAGUCCCAAUUCUAAUAAAUUGUUACUAUGUAACAUUUAGAGAUAUUCUAAGCCGUGUUUCAGACUAAAUUAUUAAAGCUGAGGUUAUAAUGGA
Molecule: long non-coding RNA, 11893 nt
Organism: Peromyscus californicus insignis
Lineage: Eukaryota; Metazoa; Chordata; Mammalia; Rodentia; Cricetidae
Exons: 4
Source: RefSeq, a predicted model, not a curated record